UACGAAGGGGGCUAGCGUUGCUCGGAAUUACUGGGCGUAAAGGGCGCGUAGGCGGACAGUUUAGUCAGAGGUGAAAGCCCAGGGCUCAACCCCGGAAUUGCCUUUGAUACUGGCUGUCUUGAGUUCGGGAGAGGUGAGUGGAAUGCCGAGUGUAGAGGUGAAAUUCGUAGAUAUUCGGCGGAACACCAGUGGCGAAGGCGACUCACUGGACCGGCAUUGACGCUGAGGAGCGAAAGCCAGGGGAGCAAACGGG
Molecule: ribosomal RNA, 253 nt
Filed under: uncultured bacterium
Lineage: Bacteria
Description: partial 16S ribosomal RNA
Rfam family: Bacterial small subunit ribosomal RNA
Source: RNAcentral